UUCUGGUUGAUCCUGCCGGCGGGCACCGCUAUUGGAGUUCGCUUAAGCCAUGCGAGUCGAGAGGGGUAAGCCCUCGGCGCACUGCUCAGUAACACGCCGAUAAUCUGCCCUCGAGUGGGGGAUAACCCCGGGAAACUGGGAAUAAUACCCCAUAGCCGUUCCAUGAUGGAAGGCUGGGACGGCGAAAGCUGAGGCGCUCGAGGAUGGAUCUGUGGCCUAUCAGGUCGUAGGGGGUGUCACGGACCCCCUAGCCGAAGACGGGUACGGGCUUUGAGAGAAGUCGCCCGGAGAUGGGUUCUGAGACAUGAACCCAGGUCCUACGGGACGCAGCAGGCGCGAAACCUCCACAAUGUGGGAAACCACGAUGGGGGAACUCCAAGUGGAUGCACUUUGUGUAUUCUGUUCUCGAGCCUAAAAAGCUCGAGAAGUAAGGGCCGGGUAAGACGGGUGCCAGCCGCCGCGGUAAUACCCGCGGCCCGAGUGGUGCUCAUUAUUAUUGAGUCUAAAGCGUCCGUAGCCGGCCGGGUAAAUCUCUGGGUAAAUCGGGCGGCUCAACCGUCCGAAUUCCAGAGACACUGCCCGGCUUGGGAUCGGGAGAGGAUGAUGGUACUCCU
Molecule: ribosomal RNA, 614 nt
Filed under: uncultured Thermoplasmatales archaeon
Lineage: Archaea; Methanobacteriati; Thermoplasmatota; Thermoplasmata; Thermoplasmatales
Description: bacterial SSU rRNA
Rfam family: Archaeal small subunit ribosomal RNA
Source: RNAcentral